UGCCAUCCAACCAUCUCAUCCUCUGUCCCCCCUUCUCCUCUUGUCUUCAAUCUUUCCCAGCAUCAGGGUCUUCUCAAAUGAGUCAGCUCUUCACAUCAGGGGGCCAAAGAAUUGGAGUUUCAGCUUCAACGUCAGUCCUUCCAAUGAACACCCAGGACUGAUCUCCUUUAGGAUGCACUGGUUGGAUCUCCUUGCAGUCCAAGGGACUCUCAAGAGUCUCCCCCAACACCACAGUUCAAAAGCAUCGAUUCUUCAGCGCUCAGCCCUCUUUACAGUCCAGCUCUCAGCUCCGUGCCAGCUUACCUUUAAAAGGACACAGUCUGAUGAAGGCUGGAGGCCAGCAUAGGGGGAGAGAAGAGUGUGGAGGUGCAGUAUUUGGACUGGAAUGUCGUUUAAUAAGAGGGUAUCAUCUUGCAUGAUCUCUUCAGCAAGGGGAGGGCGCGAGGCUGGUGAGUCACCGUGGUGAGUGCGCGCCAACGUCUUUCCCCAUCACAGUCCCAUUUAUUAAAUUACGGUGGCGAGUGAAGCUCGCAGGAA
Molecule: long non-coding RNA, 537 nt
Organism: Bos taurus (domestic cattle)
Lineage: Eukaryota; Metazoa; Chordata; Mammalia; Artiodactyla; Bovidae
Source: Ensembl